CAGGCCUAACACAUGCAAGUCGAGCGGGAUUAUACAGACGGAAGCUUCGGUGGAAGAUUGUAUAUGAGAGCGGCGGACGGGUGAGUAAAGCCUUAGAAUCUGCCCCUAAGUGAGGGAUAGCCACGGGAAACUGUGAUUAAUACCGCAUAUGCUGGAGACAGUAAAGCCUUCGGGCGCUUAGGGAGGAGCUUUGGUCCUAUCAGCUAGUUGGUGAGGUAAAGGCUCACCAAGGCAAUGACGGGUAGCUGGUCUGAGAGGAUGAUCAGCCACAAUGGAACUGAGACACGGUCCAUACUCCUACGGGAGGCAGCAGUGAGGAAUCUUCCACAAUGGACGAAAGUCUGAUGGAGCGAUGCCGCGUGAAGGAUGAAGGUUGAGAGAUUGUAAACUUCUUUUCUGGGGGAGAAUAAUGAUAGUACCUCAGGAAUAAGGGACGGCUAACUACGUGCCAGCAGCCGCGGUAAUACGUAGGUCCCAAGCAUUAUCCGGAAUUAUUGGGCGUAAAGCGUCUGUAGGCUGACUUGUAAGUUGAUAAUGAAAGACCGAAGCUCAACUUCGUGUUUGUUAUCAAAACUGCAAGUCUAGAAUUAGGGAGAGGUAAGUAGAAUUCUAAGUGUAGGGGUGCAAUCCGUAGAUACUUAGAGGAAUACCAAAAGCGAAGGCAACUUACUGGAACUAUAUUGACGCUGAGAGACGAAAGCGUGGGGAGCGAAAAGGAUUAGAUACCCUUGUAGUCCACGCCGUAAACGAUGAUAACUAGGUGUUGGGAUUUAGUCUCAGUGCUGUAGCUAACGCGUUAAGUUAUCCGCCUGAGGAGUACGGUCGCAAGAUUAAAACUCAAAGGAAUAGACGGGGAACCACACAAGCAGUGGAUCACGUGGUUUAAUUCGACAAUACACGGGGAACCUUACCUAGGCUUGACAUCUUCAGAAUCUCGAGGAAACUUGAGAGUGCUCGCAAGAGAACUGGAUGACAGGUGCUGCAUGGUUGUCGUCAGCUCGUGCCUUGAGGUGUUCGGUUAAGUCCGUUAACGAGCGCAACCCAUGUCAUUAGUUACUAUGUCUAAUGAGACUGCCCUGGUUAACAGGGAGGAAGGUGUGGAUGACGUCAAAUCAGCAUGGCUUUUACGCCUAGGGCUACACACAUGAUACAAUGGUCUAUACAAAGGGUAGCCAAACCGCGAGGUGGAGCCAAUCCCAUAAAGUAGAUCUCAGUCCGGAUUGGAGGCUGCAACUCGCCUCCAUGAAGUUGGAAUUGCUAGUAAUCGUGAAUCAGAUAUGUCACGGUGAAUACGUUCCUGGUUCUUGUACACACCGCCCGU
This 1321-nucleotide ribosomal RNA is filed under the name uncultured bacterium. RNAcentral describes it as "bacterial SSU rRNA". It matches the Rfam family "Bacterial small subunit ribosomal RNA", at positions 43 to 1397 of the family's 1533-position model. The record is from RNAcentral.